Coregonus clupeaformis (lake whitefish) is the source of this 1773-nucleotide long non-coding RNA. RefSeq lists it as uncharacterized. The record is from RefSeq and is a predicted model, not a curated record. The transcript has 3 exons. NCBI's taxonomy places the organism in Eukaryota, Metazoa, Chordata, Actinopteri, Salmoniformes, Salmonidae.
GAUUGGGACUGGUCUGCAUCUUUAGAAAGUACAAACUAAAACUAAUUAGCGUAAUAUGUUGUUUAAAUUCAGCUCAUCUUUUUUUUUUUAAGUUUAGUUUUCACGACGUUGUGUCCAGUGUGCGUACCUUUUAGUAGCUUUGGGACAUUCCUGAUGAUGUGUCCCAAAGCUAACCUUUUAGCAAGCUGGCUGGCAAGCGUGCCUUGCUUGAUGCUGAAGGAAACCUGCGUGACUGAUGGUAGAGGUAGAAGCUCAUUUAUUUUAUAGCUAUCAUCCAGCGCCCUAAAAGUUGACCAUCCAAUCACAGUAGCUAGAGCCAUUUAUGUCUACUCAAUGUAUAAACAUGGGAACUUGGAAUUUGGCUUGUAAGUGUUCCAGGAUGUUUGUCCAUAGUAGACUGUUGACUGUCGUGUCAGAGUCAAACAUGAAAGUGGGUUCUCACUCUGCAUCCUACCAUUCCACUAGUUCUCUCAUCUGGCCUAAAGGACUGCUGUGAGGUGACGAUGCAGUGCCUUAACCAGCUCUGGUCUGUGACACUGGCCUGCUGUGCCCGGAUACUGGCCUGCUGUGCCGGGAAAGAGACCCAAGCAUCCCUGGAGAGGAAGCCCAAUGCAGACAGCAGAGUAUCAUCUGUGCUUUGGAAGCUCAGCCUGGAUGACUUUCCAGAGGAUGGUGAGAGGCUAAUAAAGGACUCCAGAGAAGGACUAUCCAGAGAAGAAGACAGGAAUGAUGAGACAUUGUUUGGCGUGUCUCCUGGCUCUCACCCAGGGCAGAAGGAAGUCACACAGGCUUUUUGUGAAGGAGGGUUUGGCCUCUCGUUUGGCCUCUCUACGGCAGGUGUGUGAGGAGGCCCGUAGACAGGGUGUGCAGAUCCAGGGGGUUAGUACGAAGGACUUAAACAAGAUGUGCUCAGGAGGGGUCCACCAGGGUUUCAUGGGAGUGUAUGCUAUGACAGCCUCACACAUAUGCUGAAGGUAUUGUACCUCUCCCAAUGCAUUUUAGCCUGGUCAUGCACUGGUCAGCUUACUUUCAGAAUCUCACUGUUUGGCUUCAGUAUUUUAUGAGAGCAUGAGAGCUUUAAAACAAUAAUAAUUUUGUCUUUAGUGUUAGCUCUUUUGACCUAUAUGGAGCCAACUUUAAACCUCAACUUUUAGGAGUUAUUGAUUUUUCAUAGUCCUCACUAGCUGAUGACUAGGGUCUGUUCUGUGCCGGUAAAGGUGGCACAAGGCUAGCAGCUUAUUGGCACAGUGGGAGCUAAACCAGAGAACUCUCAUGUUCCUGUCAUGACAUUUUCCAAUUUCCAGAUGACCAAACCUACACUUCUGCUGAUGGGUGGUGAAAGGUAAGGCUUGUCCCGGGAGCUGCGUCUGCAUUGAGGCCCUGCUAACCAUCGCACCUCGCAGAGACCUGCACCCUGGCCUGGUGUCGAAUCCCUCAAUGUGUUUGUGGCUACAGGCAUCCUGCUGCACUUACUCCUGUCGUCCUGUAGAGAUGGCCAUCGAUGACCGACUAGACUACACAACUCAAGGUGUUUACUUUGGACUCCCUCCCAGGCACUCCUCCCAGGGCUUAAUGACUGGAUUUACUGCAUCAAUUAGCCAUCAGGGUCUCUGAGAGUCUAGAGGCCUGGCUGGCUGAUUGAUUGUUCUCUGGCAGCUGAUGUGCCCUCGCCGUGCUGUUCUGCACUGCUCUGGACCUUCAUGCUAACUGCAUGUCUGAAUGUAAACAGUACAAUGUAAUUCAAUUCAAUAAAACAUUGUGUACUCAAAGUUA